GGGCCCGCACAAGCGGUGGAGCAUGUGGUUUAAUUCGAUGAUACGCGAGGAACCUUACCAGGGCUUAAAUGCAGAACGACCGGGGUGGAAACACCCCUUUCUUCGGACGGUCUGCAAGGUGCUGCAUGGUUGUCGUCAGCUCGUGCUGUGAAGUGUCGGGUUAAGUCCCAUAACGAGCGCAACCCCUAUUUCUAGUUGCCAGCGGUUCGGCCGGGGACUCUAGAGAAACUGCCAGCGUAAGCUGUGAGGAAGGUGGGGAUGACGUCAAAUCAUCACGGCCCUUACGUCCUGGGCCACACACGUGCUACAAUGGUGGGGACAACGAGUCGCGAACCCGCGAGGGUAAGCUAAUCUUCAAACCCCAUCUCAGUUCGGAUUGUAGGCUGCAACUCGCCUACAUGAAGGUGGAAUCGCUAGUAA
RNAcentral lists this ribosomal RNA (420 nucleotides) under uncultured bacterium. RNAcentral describes it as "bacterial SSU rRNA". It matches the Rfam family "Bacterial small subunit ribosomal RNA", at positions 917 to 1341 of the family's 1533-position model. The record is from RNAcentral.